UCGUUCGCACGAAGCGUUGAACGCUKUUUUUGUGGUGCUCCGAGGCCGAGGCCCCGUACCCACCUGAUAUUCCAUACUCGAGAGACCGAGCAACCCGUCGUGGUUCGUCGGCCUGGACGCCGUUUCAUGGGCGAACAGGGCGYGAGACACGACGUGCGCUAUUUGGCCCACCCCGCGCCACCAGACCUUUCAGGUAGCAGCACAGGACGGGAAUGGAACAAUGGUAGCCGAUAGAAUGCCCUCAUGAUAGGUAUGCAGCACAGGAAAAACRACGUYGGACGAGCACUUGCUUCGUGCCAACAACUGAAGAGA
RNAcentral lists this unclassified non-coding RNA (312 nucleotides) under Dracocephalum nutans. RNAcentral describes it as "partial external transcribed spacer". Lineage: Eukaryota; Viridiplantae; Streptophyta; Magnoliopsida; Lamiales; Lamiaceae. The record is from RNAcentral.